GAUGAACGCUGGCGGCGUGCCUAAUACAUGCAAGUCGAGCGAACGGACGAGAAGCUCUCUUCUCUGAUGUUAGCGGCGGACGGGUGAGUAACACGUAGAUAACCUACCUAUAAGACUGGGAUAACUUCGGGAAACCGUAGCUAAUACCGGAUAAUAUUUUGAACGGCAUGGUUCAAAAGUGAAAGACGGUUUUGCUGUCACUAAGAGAUGGAUCCGCGCUGCAUUAGCUAGUUGGUAAGGUAACGGCUUACCAAGGCAACGAUGCAUAGCUGACCUGAGAGGAUGAUCAGCCACACUGGAACUGAGACACGGUCCAGACUCCUACGGGAGGCAGCAGUGGGGAAUAUUCGACAAUGGGCGAAAGCCUGACGCAGCAAUGCCGCGUGAGUGAUGAAGGUCUUCGGAUCGUAAAGCUCUGUUAUUAGGGAAGAACAUAUGUAUGAGUAACUGUGGACAUCUUGACGGUACCUAAACAGAAAGCCACGGCUAACUUCGUG
This 497-nucleotide ribosomal RNA is filed under the name uncultured bacterium. RNAcentral's name for it is "partial 16S ribosomal RNA". It matches the Rfam family "Bacterial small subunit ribosomal RNA", at positions 28 to 507 of the family's 1533-position model. The record is from RNAcentral.